UGCCGUUUGGGGGGGGGGAAUACACAUAAAUAUGGAACUAUGACUCUUCGAACCCAUUAUCUCUUUCCCUUAAUCCUAAUAUCACUUUCGUCUUGUGAUCGUAGAGAAUAAACCCAAAUUAUUUGUAGUCAACCGAGAUAUACACCUGUAAGUACAAUUUCACUUGUUGAAUUUCUACAUAUCUUCUAUAUUGCUUUCCGUUUGUUUAGUUGGGCUAUUGAAUUGCAAUUUUUUUUUUCAAUUUUUUGGAUCUUUUUAAGAAAUCGAACCUAAAAUACCUAACUCUGUUCUUUCCAUGUUAUUUUUGUGUAUUUUUUGUUGAAUUUCUUCGUGAUGUGUAUAUGUUUUCGGGUAUCUACAGCCGUGGUAUUCAAUAUGAGUCUUCCUUUUUUGUUCGAUCUUUUAAGAAAUCUAACUAGGAUAGUUCAAGUCUCUUCCUUUGAUGUUCUUUUUGCGUGUUCUUUGUUGAAUUCCUCCCUAUUGUGUAUAUGUUAACUGGUUUCUGCAGUUGUGGUGUUCAAUAUAUGUUUUAAAUCUUGUAAUUUUUCUGAAUGAUGUUAUAUUCUCAUUUUCCUCUUCUGAUGUGUAAUUUUAUUUUAGCCACAAUCAUGAAACUUAAAAAAAAUAAAAAAAAAUAAAUUAUUUUUCUAUUACGUGAAUGUUAAAAUUUUCUUGCAUCAAAUAAUUAAUGAAUUUGAUUCCAUUUUUCAUAUUGUUUUUACUAAGCAACCAAAAUAAAAAUGUAUCCACUUGGUUAAGAUCUUGACUGCAUCAUAGUAGAUGCCCACAAAACUUAAUGAUAUGGAAAAAACAGCGGGCUUGCCUGUCUAUUAACAUUUGAAAGGAAUUCCUUUGCUCUUGAAGUAGUUUCUGGAAUGUUGCGUCGCAUACCUCUGAGACAACUCAGGUGCACUGAGUUCAUUAGUAGCCCUCUCUUUUUCUUUUGCACUAUCUUUAUGAAUUUCAGAAGGUGACCAUCAUUUUUCUCACGAAAUACAAUGCAUGCUAAUAGGUUUACCAGGUGAGUUAUAGUCCAUUGUUACCAAUCCAAGCCACGAGUCAGCAGGUAAAAACAGGCAAUGCUUCUCCUUUACUUGCUUAUGUAAUUUUGACUUUUUUUUCCUUAUCUUUACUUCAUCCCUAGGCUACAAGGUAUGCAAGUUGACUAUAUCUUGGUGGCCUUCCACCAUUGGCUAAUGAGUAGGUAUGUACUGAUUCUCCUCCUUUACCCUGAACCUUUGUAUUUCUGCAUUUGCAUUAGGUAUAUUAGAUUUGUCGAUGUGUUGAUUAUGAGUUCCUCUUAAUAGUUUCUCAUAUCUUGUAGCCUAUCUCAGUUUCAUUAUGUUGAAGACCAUUGUACUUUCCCAUUGUACUCUAAUCUCAACAUGAGGGGAAAAAAGAAAAUCUUAAUUGGUUUUUGUGGGUGCCUGGAUUUGUGUUGCCUCCAAUAUUUUUCUGCAUAAUUACCUUAUCAAAAUGAUUUUUGUUGGAGUGAUCACUAAUCAUUAUAUAGACCUUUUUUUUUUUUUUUUUAAAUCUAUUGAUUUCAUGUUUAUAGAAUUUGAGAUUUUUAUCAUAUACUUUUUAUAUGUAGUCAAUGUGUAUGUGCCCAAGGACAGAGUCACAAAUGCUUAUCCUGUACUCUUUUUGGUAUUGUUUCUUUCUGAUUUUUUGGUUAGUUUUAAAGUUAGAUAUUUUGAAACUCAUAUAUUUCUGCAUGGUGUAUAGUUAUAGAAAAUCCUUUAGAUGAUAGAAAUAGUUAUAUCAUAUCCACAUAUAACUCCAUCAUAUUAUUCUAUUAAUGUAAACAAACGUGGUACUCUUUCAAAUUUGUGUUUGCCAAUCUUUAAUUUGCCUUUUUAGGCUGAAUUCUUUUUUGACCAAUUAUCUCUCUUCACCUAUGAAAAAAAGCUGAAGUAUUGAAAAGGUUACUAUCAAAAUUAAGCCUAUAGAUAAUUAAUUGUUUUCAAAUAUGACAUGGCAGCCCCCAUGGAGUCAUCAGAUUUGUUCUAAUUUUCCUUUAAUUAGAACCUCUAGAAAAAUAAAGAAAAUUCUCAAGAUCAAUAUUUCCUUAACCUCUGCACUAAUUUUCAUAUGCACUAACUAAUGUCAAUUUCUUUGGGUAGAAAUCUUUUUAAAUGAGCAUUUCACAGACUCCUUCGAUUCUUUAACUAUAGACGGAUUUCAGAAAUGACGCCUUUUAAAUUCAUUUCCCUAUUUGCACUUUCUCAAGUCAAAAGUUCCUAAAUGAGGGCUGCUGAUUUUCUUAGUUACGAGUUGCCAUUUAGUAAACUCAAAAAUGGAAAAGUGUGAUAAUUUUUAAAUAUUGAUUUCUGGGCUACUUCUUUUUAUGGAUUUUUUGUUUUGAUUUGAUUAAUUCUUAAAAAAUUAUGAAAAUGUGAACAAGAAAUUGGGAUCUUGUAAAGAUUUGGGCUAUUGAUUCUUGGCGUUGUAUUUAUUUUGGGUAAGUUGGGGUAUGAAAUGGUAAAGUAUAUCUUUGUUGAAUAUAUGCACAAAAAUUUUAGUUCUUUUUUAUAUGUACUUAAAAUUUCUUGAUGAUACAUAGUUAAAAGUAUUUUAGCAGAAAUAAUAUUGGUGAUAUGAUAAUUUCACUGAAUUGACUACAUGUUGAUGGUAAUGUUGUCAAUAGGGCUUUGGAAAAUAGAGUUGGUGUUGGUGGUACAAGUAACGAUAGGAUGUUUGUUUGUUUAAUUGCGUGAAUCAAUUUUCUUUUGUUUAUCAUUUUCUUUUGGUACAAUUCCUUUUAUAUGUAUUGAUUUGCUUAGGUUUUUUGAGGUUUAUACAUAAUUUCAAAAGUUUUAGUUAUUUCUUGCGCUGAGGUUGUUUUUUCUUUUGAGUGGGUAUGAAUUUCAACUUACUUUGUAUGUUUUGUUUUGACAUUGAAAUUAUAAUGUGAUUUCUUCUUUUGAUGGUAUAUUUGUCCUUUUUCUUUUGAUAGAAUAUUUGUCUUUUGUGUUUUCCUUUUGUCGUUCAAUUUUAUUUGGUUGUAUCUUUUCAUGCAUAACUGCUCUAAUAGCAUCAGUGGUCUUGAGAAAUUGAUUUUGGUUGUUCGCAACUUGAAUAAUAUUCUGGGUGUGCUCUCAAUUCUGUUAUUUAUACUGAUCAAAGAUUGUCUUGGCAUAAUUAUGUUGUAUUAUGUGCAUUAAAUAACUCGAAAUCCUUUUCUGCUCAAGAGUUUACUAUAUUAUGUUAAUCUUGUAACAAUGGGCAUAAUUUGUUGUAGACUUUGUAAUUUGUAGAACUUCUUAGCCUUUUGCAUCUUGUGUUUAUAUUGUGUUAAACAAGUUUAAAUUCAUUUUAUCAGAAUGUAGCAUAUCGAUCGUCGGAGGCAUGAAGAUGUUGCAUCUUCAUAUACAGCAACAAAACACUACAGCAUUGAGGAUGAUUAAGUAGAGGAACAUCCCAAGGUAUAUUAGCCCUUAAAAUUUUUAUCUUGCUCCAAUAAAUUUGUUGCAUUUCUAUGUAAAUUCAGUUAUAUAUGGUUUUAUAUGGUGGAAGUAUCAGUUGCACAUUAGUCCACUAAACUAUAAUUCUAGAGUCUUUUAUCAUUUAUCUUUGUAGUAUGUUUCAUGCAUUGCAUUCACUAGUUUAUAGAAUCUUUCUUCUCGAGCAAUAUAAGCUUUCACCAUUAAGAUGUUUUUGACAUCAUAAUAGAUGAACUAAACCUGUACUCAUAAUGCAUUUCGAAGGAAUAAUUAAUCCUGCAUCUAUUUUGAAAUGUUCUUUGAUUUGUUGCAUGCACUCAGAGCCGGUCCUGUGAUUGAUGGGCCCUGAAGCGAAAUGUGUAAAUUAGGCCUCCCAGCGAAAGCAAUGUAAAUACAAAAUUCAACGGCGUAUUAUUAUAUCCAUUGCUAACUUAAAAAACUAACUUUAAAACAACAACUAAAUAUAUUAUAGAAACGAUUUAUAUAAAUACAAAAUUCAACGGUGUAUAAUGUCCAAUAAUUGACCUAAAAAACAAUUACAAAAUAUCUCAAUCAUCACACAAUUACAAUUUCCAAUACAGUUACUAUGUGCAUCUGUGCAAUUGUUCAUCUCACAAUAACCAAUCAUAUAAGCCGACCAAGCUGCAAUUAUAUAAGCUGACAAGGCUUCAAACAUUUUCAAUCUCUUUAAUAACAAGUUAGGGCAAGCCAUUGCUUAUCUGAGAAGUGGAAUUUUGACGAUAAUUGUGGAAUUACACCGUUGAGAAUGAUCUCGUCACAACUCACGAGCCUGAAACAAAAAUUUAUAUAAAAUAAUAUAUGAUGUCUAAGAUUGCCAAGACUAAGAUCUAGUGAUAAGGGAAUUAAGAAUAUUUAAGAGCAGCAAACCUUCAAUUUUUGAGAUCUGUCACCUCUCACUUUCUUUUUGCUCAUUAUAUUCUUGAACCAAACUCUAGAGCCCAUUAUCGAUGCUUAAUAUAGCUCACUGUGUAACGAUCCGGACCUCUCGCCCAAGCCGUUAGCUUACGUACUGUCUGCUUUGGAUGGACCUUACACCCACUUACCUCUCACGGCUUUCUAUCGCGUUCCUCAGGAUUCGAACUCUUGACCUCUACAUAAGAGAGACUUAAGUUGAAUCGUGGUACCAAUUGGGGCGAGCUGCUAGCUUAGGUAUUGUCCGCUUUGCGUGGGCCUUGCACCCACUUACACCUCACGGCUUUCUAUCGCGUUCCCUAGGAUUUGAACUCUUGACCUCUAUAUAAGAGAGAUUUAAGUUGAAUCGUGGUAACAAUUGGGCGUUUCAUAAGAGAUCCUGGUCCUUUAUUUAUAGUUCUUGCAUUAACUAGUCUGGAAUUAGGUGUAGCUAUAUCACAAGCUCAUGUUUCUACGAUCUCAAUCUGUAUUUACUUGAAUGAUGCUACAAAUCUCCAUCAAAGUGCUUAUUUAUUUAUAAUUGAACAAAAGCAAUGAUAGUUGUAGACUACUGAGUUUACGAGGUGAAGGAGCGAGAACUUCCCCCAGAUCAAAAAACAAAUCUUCCUCAAAGUCUAUCUUGUCUUUACCACGAGUCAUUUUGGCGCCAAUUGGUACCGCGAUUCAACUUAAGUCUCUCUUAUGUAGAGGUUAACAGUUUGAAUCCUAGGGAACGUGAUAGAAAGCCGUGGGGUAAGUGGGCGUAAGGCCCACCCAAAGCGGACAGUACGUAAGCUAACGGCUGGGCGAAAGGUCCGGAUCGUUACAAAAACUUGCCCAAUUGGUAUCGGGAUUUAAGUCUCUUAUGUAGAGGUCAGAAGUUCGAAUCCUAGGGGACGCGAAGAAAAGUCGUGAGGGAUAAGUGAGCGCAAGGCCCACCCAAAGCGGACAGUACGUAAGCUAAUGGCUUAGGUGAGCAGGUCGUUACAAAAAAAUGCGCUUUUUUUUGUAACGAUCCGGACCUCUCGUCCAAUUGGUCCAAUUGGUACCACGAUUCAACUUAAGUCUACCUUAUGUAGAGAUCAAGAGUUCGAAUCUUGGGAAAUGCGAUAGAAAGUCGUGGGGGGUAAGUGGGCGCACGACUCACCCAAAGCGGACAGUACGUAAGCUAACGGUUUGGACGAGAGUUCCGGGUCGUUACACAUUGGAAUACCCUGCAGAUGAUGUAAAAGUCUCGAGUAAAAAUGGGAUCACUAUUGAAUUAUUGAUUUAGUCAAAUGCUUAAUUUGCAAGUGUCUUGUGAAAUUGUUACCAUCAUAUUCCAGUCUACAGACAAUAAUAAUUUGCACUCUUCAACUAAAUUUAUGAUAAUAGCUUUACACAAAAGCCAAAAGAAGAACGAUUCAAUUUCACCUUUUACUCCGAACACAAUUGAAUCAAUUACAAUACAUAAAGCCUAUACAAUUUAUAUUUUGAAGUAAAUGAAUAGAAUUCAAUCUUAUGAAUUGAAAUGUAAUUUUAAAUCAUAAUAACUCAAUGAAAACUAGUAUGUAAAACUGAAAAUGUGCGACUUGCAGUUGCUGGAGAGUUAUUUCGCAGUUGCUCUUCCAUGUGGAUAAGUUUAUGGUUUCGAUGUUAGCAAAGUGAAGGGGCAAGUCAGCUUGAAAAAUCUCAUGUCAUGGUUGUUUUCUUUUGGAUUAUCAGAUUUAAUAACUAGCUUGAGUUACAACUUCUGAAGAUGUGGAGAAGUAAAGAAAAGUUCAUGCUGAGAUCAUCCAUCAAAAUCAGCAAACAAUAUUGGCCACAAUCUCUAGAAAACACUAUACAGCCCUACAUGGAACUAACAAAAAUCUAUUCUCGAAAACUACUUUGGGCUCUAAUCACUAAUCAGUAAACUAAACACUACAUAAAUCCACAGACCUACUGACCUAACAUUCCAUAAAAAUAAUAUUGGACACUGAUCCACAUAAGCUGAAAAAAUAAAUAAAUAAUAAUAAAUAAAAAAGGACAGUUUAACACCUAAAAAAUUGUAGCUGAUACAUUUCAAACCUUUUAAUAAAUAAAUAUGCGUUCGAAGGACCUCUAGAUGAUUUCUAUCCAAAAUGACUGUUAAGUGACCAAGAAUCAACCGUUUCAUCAUUUUUAAAAUGAACAGACUUAUAUUUUUCUACAUAAAACAAUUAAAUUGAUUAAGUCGUUGAUGAUUUAAAUAAGCAUCUGAUUUCUAGUAUAUUUUUUUUAAUUAAAAUUGAUAGAAUGUACGAUUAAAAAGUUGUGAAUCCAUAAAAUAUACGGUUAAUUGUUUACUAAUUUUAAUCAAUUAUGUUUAGGCUUUAGCUGAACAAAACAUGGAAUAAAUAAAAAGAAAUAAAAAAUGAGGAGAAAAAGAGAGAGAUAGAUAUUAAUUCCUCGUCCACUUCCCACCCCCGCACUCCCAACCAACACCCACCACACCCACUCAGAUAUAAUGGUAUCUAACAAGAUUCAAUGCUCCUUAUCUCUAAUUAAUUUGUAAAGAAAUAGAACAAAAAAGAAAAUUUUCAACAACUCACAAACCCACAUAAGCUGAAAAAAUAAAUAAAUAAUAAUAAAUAAAAAAUUCUAUUCUAGAAAAACGCAUUUGUAAUAAUCAGUUGGGAACUCUAGACAAACCUAGAUAAAUUCAAUGAUAUUCUAUUCUAGAAAACAGUAGGCAAAAAGGAUUUCAUAACUACAAGAUUGGUAAUGUCUUCAAGUGCUCCAACGAAGUAAAUAAUAUAAAAAAUUUAGAAACCGGUGGUCGGAGCUAAAGGAGGCGACUGACCUGAAGAAGACGACACUUAGGCGAGUGGCGAUAACUGUCGGAUUGUGGACUGAUGAGCAGAGCAAAUUUUGGGAAUUUUGGAAAUUUUGAUUGAAUUUUGGGAAUUUUUGGUUAAUUGGAUUGGAUAGUGGAUAUUAGAUAUAUAAAUUGGGUUGGGUAAAUAGAUUUGAAAGGUAAAUGGAUUGUCGGCUCGUUGGAUAAUUGGUUUUGGUUUUUUGGGCUGGUUGGCCUUGUUUUUAAGAGGGGAAAAAAUUAUUCGGCCAAAAUUAGGCCUUUUCGGCCGGCUGGAUAAUUGGUUUUGGCUUGGGCCGGCUGGUGUUGUUCUUAAGAAGGGAAAUAUAUAUAUAUAUAUAUAUAUAUUUUUUUUUUUUUUUUUUUUUUUUUUUUUUUGGGCCAAAACGAGGCCCCCUAUGGUCCUGGGCUUGAGGCGCAGGCCUCAUUUGCCUCAGCCCAGGACCGGCCCUGCAUGCACUAACAUGUUCAUACUUACAAACAUGUGCUUUUCGUGGCUGUAUUAUUUAAAUUCUGGGUAAGAACUUGUACCAAAUUAACUGUUUUGAAGAAUGUGGUGCUUCACAGCUAACUACCUCGUUUCUUUCGUCUUAUAUAUUUUUAUGUUUAAGAUUCUUUCUUGCUUGUCAUGUUUGGAUUUUUUUUUUUUUUUUUUUUCAUUUUUUUCUUAUUAUUGUUAGCUGCUUGUUUUAAGCCAAUUUCAAUAUUUGAUACAACACGUUAGUAGACAUCUAGAGUUACAGGAUAGUAGGUGCUCCUUUCUCCUUAUUUACGUACAUUCAUAUGUACAUUCAACUGUAUGAUUAUUAUGACAUCUAUUUGUUUAUUUAUGCUAUUUGUGAAGUAAAUUUCGUUUAAUUGUUUUAGCACGGUAAGAAUUGCAUUUGAUAACUGGGUUUUACAAGUUUUUUGGGUCUUAUUUAUUUAUUUAUUUUUAAAAUUUUUAAGUUCAGGGAUUUUGAACUUUCUCAAUCGUAGCUAGGAAGGUAACUUUGAAGGCUAUUGUGAUUAAAAGUUUCCUUAUUUUUCGAAGUCAAGUCUUUUUGCGUUUAUUCACCAGCCCUUUAAUAAAUAAUGUGUUUUAUGUAUGGAAGAACUGCAAUGGAAAAGCGUUGACAUGAUAUAUAUAUUAAAUGUUCUAUCGUCGUGCUUUAUUCCAAGUGUUCUGUUACCAAUCUUUUAUUUGUUCUUUCCACUUGAACUUCUAUCCAGUUUAAAAUUUUCAUCAAGACAUAAUUUGCAUUUUCUUGGCUAUGCACUAAAAUUCGUGAAUUUAUUGACCAAAAGAAUCCCCAUUUUCUGUUCUAGAUAUUAAAGCUUAUAACUUUAUUGGUCUAUUUAUAAUGUUAUACACAUUUUUCCUUAGUUUCUGCAAUUUUUGUAAUCGGGGAAAUUUUUGUUGAACUUCAUAUAAAACUUUUUAUUUAAUAUGUAUCGACAUUUCUGACUAAUGAUUAGCUUCUUUUAUUUUUUUGUGCAUUUACGUACGAGCAAUUUUUAGAGAAAAUGAAGCUUUUCGAGAUACAUUUGGAUCUGUUUCUUUUAUUGGUCGUCUCUUUCUCUUUUGUUGUGCUGGAAAAUGUCCUGCAUCAGUUGACGAUUUUAAUUUUACACAUUUUGGGCUAUGUCCUAUGAUGAGGAUAGGAGAAUUUUAGAAGUGGUUGCUAGGUAUUGUCCUUAGGACAAGAGCUUGCUGUUUGUGGAGAGUCAUUGAUGUUUGUUAAAUUGUGAAGUACUUACAAUUAUUGAGUUCUGCCUUUAGUUUGGAUAGAUAGGUUCAGUCUUAUAGAUCUAGGUAUAUAAAGUGACAUAUAUCUACAUUAAUGUGAGGACCUAAAAGCAAGGUCAAUCUUCCUAUGAACAUUGGAUCGAAACUUCAGAAAGCAUCCGAUGAAGGGAAUGCUUAUUGGACCUGUUACCACUCUGAAUCAGUAAUUUGUCAUAAACAACCAAUCCAGUCUCCAAAUCAAAUACAUUUUACUCUACAUCUUCUAUAAGAUUGUCAGCAAUUCUAAUGUAAUGCUUUCCCACUCUUAGACUAUGGGCCAUCUAUCGAAUUGCUUUAACCAUAAAGAAUAAGGUUGAAUAUCUAGAACUAGCUAGAAGUAGCAUUACUAAAAUUGACCGCGCAUAUUUAAACAAAAGUUUAUCUCUUAGAAAGUCUGAACAAGUGUUCUACUUGAACUGAGCUGUACUUUCCUUCCAGGUAAGAAAUUUUAGUAUUCGAAACACCACUUAAAGUCUUUAUUCAUCAUGGUCUUCCAAACCGAUUGAAACAUCCGCUUUUAUUUUCAUCUUUUUAAACUCUUCCUUGAUUAAUUGCCCAAGUUCAUAAUAGUUUUCAACUAUAAAAGGUAAUUAUAGGACAUCUUUUUAUUUGCCAAAUUAUAAAGAAUUGGUAGAACAGGGAGAUUACUUAUCUGCAUCAUGUGCAUCUAUUACUUUUGUUCACAUGCACAAAAGUGUUAACAAAGAAUACAGCUCUCUGCCAUGACAUGUUAUGAAAAAAAUGGGAAUCACUCUUCACAAUAGCUUUCAUACAAUUUUGUUCAGGCCUUUAAUUCAUCUAUUCACCAACUCCACACCCAUACGUGUUACUGAGACUUCAAUCACAUUAUGCUUUCAAUCACUGACAAUGAUGCAAAUGUAGAUACUAUUUCAGAUUCCAAGUAAGACAAGAAGCUUCAUUCAGUUUUCUGUGAGACAGUGAAGUAUGGUGUAGGCCUUGGUCGUAAUUUAUAUGACAUCAUAUUCUAUUUCUUACGUCCCAGCACUCUGAAGAAAAAAAAAUGAUAGUCAGUUUGUAAUCGGGAAAUUUUUUGAAUUUUACAUAUCACAAAACAUCAUAGGUAUUGUAUUGCUGCUGUUAUGAAUCUAUAUGCAUAUAUAAGUUAAUAUUUGUUCAUCGCUUCAAAUGAAGCUUAUGAGUAUGCAAUUUUCUCUCAAUUAUUUUUCCUCCACUUGAUGAAAUGACCAGUGAUGUCCCUUCAAGUACUCGUUGCUGGUGUCCAUGCUGCGAGUAACAAAUUAACAUCAUAUCUUAUUCUUUUAUGUUGUUUGCGGCUAUAACCUCAUUUCAAUCUCUUUUGGAAAAGUCUCCCAUUAUAGGUUCUUGUAUUUUCUACAACCCUUGGACUAGGCUAUGAACUUCUUUCACCAAUUUUAAAAAUAAUACAUAAUUAAACUGAAUUAUAUAACUCGUGGAACAACUUUCUAACCCCUUACCUUUUUCCUCGUAGCGGCUCUCAUCCAUCAUCUUGCAAGAAGUAUAGCGAGCAUUGCCUUCGGCUCUCUCUGAACAACCUAUACGCUUCCAAUUUAUAGAUCGACCACUAUUAAAAACAUUUUUGUCGAGCUUAAUCACCAUUAACGACACCGUCAAUGUUUGGACGUAAGGAUUUUUGCUUCUUUGCAUCUUCUACAGCUCAUUUCCUGUAAAUAUGAUUACUUAUAUUAUGUUCGUGCUUUUUGUCAUCCAACAUUACACCUUUUGUUGCAAUUUUCGAAUGUUAUUAAGUUCCAUUUGCCAUUUAAUAAAAAAUAUGUUCUUUUGUAAUUGUUUCCUA
RNAcentral lists this long non-coding RNA (10739 nucleotides) under Olea europaea subsp. europaea. The record is from RNAcentral. Lineage: Eukaryota; Viridiplantae; Streptophyta; Magnoliopsida; Lamiales; Oleaceae.